CGAGCGGUAAGGCCUUUCGGGGUACACGAGCGGCGAACGGGUGAGUAACACGUGGGUGAUCUGCCCUGCACUUCGGGAUAAGCCUGGGAAACUGGGUCUAAUACCGGAUAUGACCUCCGGUUGCAUGACUUGGGGUGGAAAGAUUUAUCGGUGCAGGAUGGGCCCGCGGCCUAUCAGCUUGUUGGUGGGGUAAUGGCCUACCAAGGCGACGACGGGUAGCCGACCUGAGAGGGUGACCGGCCACACUGGGACUGAGACACGGCCCAGACUCCUACGGGAGGCAGCAGUGGGGAAUAUUGCACAAUGGGCGAAAGCCUGAUGCAGCGACGCCGCGUGAGGGAUGACGGCCUUCGGGUUGUAAACCUCUUUCAGCAGGGACGAAGCGCAAGUGACGGUACCUGCAGAAGAAGCACCGGCUAACUACGUGCCAGCAGCCGCGGUAAUACGUAGGGUGCAAGCGUUGUCCGGAAUUACUGGGCGUAAAGAGUUCGUAGGCGGUUUGUCGCGUCGUUUGUGAAAACCAGCAGCUCAACUGCUGGCUUGCAGGCGAUACGGGCAGACUUGAGUACUGCAGGGGAGACUGGAAUUCCUGGUGUAGCGGUGAAAUGCGCAGAUAUCAGGAGGAACACCGGUGGCGAAGGCGGGUCUCUGGGCAGUAACUGACGCUGAGGAACGAAAGCGUGGGUAGCGAACA
This 694-nucleotide ribosomal RNA is filed under the name Rhodococcus erythropolis. RNAcentral's name for it is "bacterial SSU rRNA". It matches the Rfam family "Bacterial small subunit ribosomal RNA", at positions 63 to 774 of the family's 1533-position model. The record is from RNAcentral. Lineage: Bacteria; Bacillati; Actinomycetota; Actinomycetes; Mycobacteriales; Nocardiaceae.